This 842-nucleotide ribosomal RNA is filed under the name uncultured archaeon. RNAcentral's name for it is "bacterial SSU rRNA". It matches the Rfam family "Archaeal small subunit ribosomal RNA", at positions 23 to 871 of the family's 1478-position model. The record is from RNAcentral.
CNGANUGCUAUCGGAUUGAUANUAAGCCAUGCGAGUCANUGUAGUAAUACAAGGCAGACGGCUCAGUAACGCGUAGUCAACNUACCCUAUGGACGGGGAUAACCUCGGGAAACUGGGAAUAAUACCCGAUAGAACAUUAUGCCUGGAAUGGUUUAUGUUUCAAAUAAUUUAUUGCCGUAGGAUGGGACUGCGGCCUAUCAGUUUGUUGGUGAGGUAAUGGCCCACCAAGACUAUUACAGGUACGGGCUCUGAGAGGAGUAGCCCGGAGAUGGGUACUGAGACACGGACCCAGGCCUUAUGGGGCGCAGCAGGCGAGAAAACUUUGCAAUGUGCGAAAGCACGACAAGGUUAAUCCGAGUGGUUUCUGCUAAAGGAACCUUUUGUCAGUCCUAGAAACACUGAUGAAUAAGGGGUGGGCAAGUUCUGGUGUCAGCCGCCGCGGUAAAACCAGCACCUCAAGUGGUCAGGAUGAUUAUUGGGCCUAAAGCAUCCGUAGCCUGCUUUGUAAGUUUUCGGUUAAAUCCAUACGCUCAACGUAUGGGCUGCCGGGAAUACUGCAAAGCUAGGGAGUGGGAGAGGUAGACGGUACUCGGUAGGAAGGGGUAAAAUCCUUUGAUCUAUUGAUGACCACCUGUGGCGAAGGCGGUCUACCAGAACACGUCCGACGGUGAGGGAUGAAAGCUGGGGGAGCAAACCGGAUUAGAUACCCGGGUAGUCCCAGCUGUAAACUAUGCAAACUCAGUGAUGCAUUGGCUUGAUGCCAAUGCAGUGCUGCAGGGAAGCCGUUAAGUUUGCCGCCUGGGAAGUACGUACGCAAGUAUGAAACUUAAAGGAAUUGGCGG